Molecule: ribosomal RNA, 492 nt
Filed under: uncultured bacterium
Lineage: Bacteria
Description: partial 16S ribosomal RNA
Rfam family: Bacterial small subunit ribosomal RNA
Source: RNAcentral
AGUGAACGCUGGCGGUAGGCCUAACACAUGCAAGUCGAACGGCAGCACAGUAAGAGCUUGCUCUUACGGGUGGCGAGUGGCGGACGGGUGAGGAAUACAUCGGAAUCUACUUUUUCGUGGGGGAUAACGUAGGGAAACUUACGCUAAUACCGCAUACGACCUACGGGUGAAAGCAGGGGAUCUUCGGACCUUGCGCGAUUGAAUGAGCCGAUGUCGGAUUAGCUAGUUGGCGGGGUAAAGGCCCACCAAGGCGACGAUCCGUAGCUGGUCUGAGAGGAUGAUCGGCCACACUGGAACUGAGACACGGUCCAGACUCCUACGGGAGGCAGCAGUGGGGAAUAUUGGACAAUGGGCGCAAGCCUGAUCCAGCCAUACCGCGUGGGUGAAGAAGGCCUUCGGGUUGUAAAGCCCUUUUGUUGGUAAAGAAAAGCAGCAGGUUAAUACCCCGCUGUUCUGACGGUACCCAAAGAAUAAGCACCGGCUAACUUCGUG